This is a long non-coding RNA of Herpailurus yagouaroundi (jaguarundi), 1346 nucleotides long. RefSeq lists it as uncharacterized. The transcript is spliced from 2 exons. Lineage: Eukaryota; Metazoa; Chordata; Mammalia; Carnivora; Felidae. The record is from RefSeq and is a predicted model, not a curated record.
UUCAGCUGUUUAAGGACUCAGCCAGGAGAAAUCAGUUCUUCUGCAGGACAGGAGACACGGCCUGGAGGCCAAACUAGCUGGUGGGGUACUUAGGACUGGUGAAACUGCCCUAUUGGUUGGUAACAUUUUUAUCAAUAAAGGAAGAGAAUCUCAGAGAACUCAGACAAAAGAGCCCCCCCCUUUUUUUUAAUCGCUGCAGUGUUUCAGAGGAGCAAGGAUAGAAGAAGCAAAGAAAUGUGCCCUGGCUUGCAAAACGGAAGGAAGGAACGAAAGCCCUGUCGAAUUACCUCAUUUUCUUUAUUAAAAGAUGCUUACCACUCUGAUUAGCUUUGAGCUCAGUUGCAGUUCCUCGAGGAUUAUUCUCCACAAGCAAAAAGGAGACAAGCACAAAGGACAGUAAUCCAGGUAGACCAACAACAAAAAAAGCCUCUUCUUUAUCCUGAAGCCUUGGAAAAUGUGGGUGUAUGUGUGGAAUUACCCAGUGUCUGUUGAAGAAGGAGAACGGAUGCACACCAGUACUAAGCUUGGACUCCAAGCUCUUCUUCCAACUUCCAGACAGAAAACAAUCUUCUGCCUGCAAAAGAUUUCACAGGCUUCCUAAUUUUAGGAUACAAUCAAGUGAAUGAAGAAGAAAGACAUCUGGAAGAUAAGGGCAUCACGACUACUUCAGGACAUCAGUAAUGCUAGGAUUUUGUUACCCUCUGUUGUUGUUUGUGGCUGGGUGAGAGUCUCUUGAUGGCUUCCAUAUUGAAAGAUUUAAAAAUGGAAUUCUGAAGUAUUCAAUCAAGAACAUGAAGGCUUGUAAACAGUUUGAUUUCAUGGCCCUUACUCAAAUGGAUUCGCUUUUUAAUGCAUUUUGGCAAGCCGUGCUCCACAGUGUAGGAGGCAGGAAGGACAUUUACAUCAGUGCAAACUGGGGCGUUGGUUUCCAUGAAGAGAAAACUCAGAACACUUCCAAACAAAAAAGGGCUCCUGGACACAAUGCAAGAAGGACGCUGUGAGAAGAGGUCCAGAUUUAGCAAUAAGAAUACAAACAUGAAAGCAGUUCUGUGCUGGAAAGACAUUUAAAAAUCCUGAGAUCUGCAGGCCAGAGCCUGCCACUGGAAUUGGCAAAAGAAGAAGAAACAACUGACUUUCAUUUUGGCUUUUGCCACAAGUCCAAGUGCUUUGUGAUUCUUGCCCAAAGUCUCUAAAUGAGAUGCUUGGUGUGUAUUCCAAAGUUCUUGCCUUCUGACGCUAGUGUGGAAGACGCAGCACACUCUUUUUCCUUUCUUCCCAGUGGAAAGAGUUUUAGGACAUAAGCGGCCUUGACCAACAUGUUGAAAAUAAAAUUAUUUUCCAACAUA